UACGUAAGGGGCGAGCGUUAUCCGGAAUUAUUGGGCGUAAAGAGUAUGUAGGUGGUUCUUUAAGCGUGGGGUUUAAUGCAUUGGCUCAACCAAUGUUUGCCUUGCGAACUGGAGAACUUGAGUAUAGGAGAGGAAAGCGGAAUUCCUAGUGUAGCGGUGAAAUGCGUAGAUAUUAGGAGGAACACCAGAGGCGAAGGCGGCUUUCUGGACUAUUACUGACACUGAGAUACGAAAGCGUGGGGAGCAAACA
RNAcentral lists this ribosomal RNA (250 nucleotides) under uncultured bacterium. RNAcentral's name for it is "partial 16S ribosomal RNA". It matches the Rfam family "Bacterial small subunit ribosomal RNA", at positions 524 to 774 of the family's 1533-position model. The record is from RNAcentral.